This 669-nucleotide ribosomal RNA is filed under the name uncultured bacterium. RNAcentral describes it as "bacterial SSU rRNA". It matches the Rfam family "Bacterial small subunit ribosomal RNA", at positions 105 to 772 of the family's 1533-position model. The record is from RNAcentral.
GGUGAGUAACACGUAUCCAACCUGCCGUCUACUCUUGGACAGCCUUCUGAAAGGAAGAUUAAUACAAGAUGGCAUCAUGAGUCCGCAUGUUCACAUGAUUAAAGGUAUUCCGGUAGACGAUGGGGAUGCGUUCCAUUAGAUAGUAGGCGGGGUAACGGCCCACCUAGUCUUCGAUGGAUAGGGGUUCUGAGAGGAAGGUCCCCCACAUUGGAACUGAGACACGGUCCAAACUCCUACGGGAGGCAGCAGUGAGGAAUAUUGGUCAAUGGGCGAGAGCCUGAACCAGCCAAGUAGCGUGAAGGAUGACUGCCCUAUGGGUUGUAAACUUCUUUUAUAAAGGAAUAAAGUCGGGUAUGCAUACCCGUUUGCAUGUACUUUAUGAAUAAGGAUCGGCUAACUCCGUGCCAGCAGCCGCGGUAAUACGGAGGAUCCGAGCGUUAUCCGGAUUUAUUGGGUUUAAAGGGAGCGUAGAUGGAUGUUUAAGUCAGUUGUGAAAGUUUGCGGCUCAACCGUAAAAUUGCAGUUGAUACUGGAUAUCUUGAGUGCAGUUGAGGCAGGCGGAAUUCGUGGUGUAGCGGUGAAAUGCUUAGAUAUCACGAAGAACUCCGAUUGCGAAGGCAGCCUGCUAAGCUGCAACUGACAUUGAGGUUCGAAAGUGUGGGUAUCAAA